Molecule: unclassified non-coding RNA, 184 nt
Filed under: uncultured Beltraniella
Lineage: Eukaryota; Fungi; Ascomycota; Sordariomycetes; Amphisphaeriales; Hyponectriaceae
Description: sequence contains ITS2
Source: RNAcentral
CAACCCUUAAGCCUAGCUUAGUGUUGGGAAUCUAUGUGUGGCCCAAGCUACCCUGUAGCGUGGUUACCCUGUAGUUCCUGAAAAACAACGGCGGAUUUACAGUAUCCUCUGAGCGUAGUAAUUCUUUAUCUCGCUUCUGUUUAGGUGCUGUAGGUUCUGCCGCUAAACCCCUAAUUUUUUGUGG